GAGUUUGAUCCUGGCUCAGGAUGAACGCUAGCGGCAGGCCUAACACAUGCAAGUCGAGGGGUAACAGAGGUAGCUUGCUACUUGCUGACGACCGGCGCACGGGUGCGUAACGCGUAUACAAUCUACCUUUUGCUAAGGGAUAGCCCAGAGAAAUUUGGAUUAAUACCUUAUAGUAUACAGAGUUCUCAUGAACAUUGUAUUAAAGGUCACGGCAAAAGAUGAGUAUGCGUCCUAUUAGUUAGUUGGUGUGGUAACGGCACACCAAGACCACGAUAGGUAGGGGCCCUGAGAGGGGGAUCCCCCACACUGGUACUGAGACACGGACCAGACUCCUACGGGAGGCAGCAGUGAGGAAUAUUGGACAAUGGGGGCAACCCUGAUCCAGCCAUGCCGCGUGUGUGAAGAAGGCCUUAGGGUUGUAAAGCACUUUCAGUAGGGAGGAAAAGUUAGUCGUUAAUAACGGCUAACCCUGACGUUACCUACAGAAGAAGCACCGGCAAACUCCGUGCCAGCAGCCGCGGUAAUACGGAGGGUGCGAGCGUUAAUCGGAAUUACUGGGCGUAAAGCGCGCGUAGGCGGCCUGAUAAGUUGGAUGUGAAAGCCCUGGGCUCAACCUAGGAACUGCAUUCAAAACUAACUCACUAGAGUACGAUAGAGGGAGGUAGAAUUCAUAGUGUAGCGGUGGAAUGCGUAGAUAUUAUGAAGAAUACCAGUGGCGAAGGCGGCCUCCUGGAUCUGUACUGACACUGAGGUGCGAAAGCGUGGGCAGCAAACAGGAUUAGAUACCCUGGUAGUCCACGCCGUAAACGAUGACAACUAGCUGUUGGGAGACAAUGUCUUUCAGUGGCGCAGCUAACGUUUUAAGUUGUCCGCCUGGGGAGUACGGCCGCAAGGCUAAAACUCAAAUGAAUUGACGGGGGCCCGCACAAGCGGUGGAGCAUGUGGUUUAAUUCGAUGCAACGCGAAGAACCUUACCAGGUCUUGACAUCCAGAGAAUCAUUUAGAAUGAGAGAGUGCCUUCGGGAACCGAGUGACAGGUGCUGCAUGGCUGUCGUCAGCUCGUGUUGUGAAAUGUUGGGUUAAGUCCCGUAACGAGCGCAACCCUUGUCCUUAUUUGCCAGCACGUAAGUUGGGCACUCUAGGGAGACUGCCGGUGACAAACCGGAGGAAGGUGGGGACGACGUCAAGUCAUCAUGGCCCUUACGACCAGGGCUACACACUUGCUACAAUGGAGCGUACAAAGGGUUGCGACCCCGCGAGGGUAAGCUAAUCCCAUAAAACGUUUCGUAGUCCGGAUCGCAGUCUGCAACUCGACUGCGUGAAGUCGGAAUCGCUAGUAAUCGUAGAUCAGAAUGCUACGGUGAAUACGUUCCCGGGCCUUGUAUAUACCGCCCGUCACACCAUGGGAGUGGGUUGCAAAAGAAGUGGGUAGACUAACCUUUGGGAGGUCGCUCACCACUUUGUGAUUCAUGACUGGGGUGAAGUCGGAACAAGGUAACC
This 1500-nucleotide ribosomal RNA is filed under the name uncultured prokaryote. Its description in RNAcentral is "partial 16S ribosomal RNA". It matches the Rfam family "Bacterial small subunit ribosomal RNA". The record is from RNAcentral.